This 282-nucleotide long non-coding RNA is filed under the name Mytilus galloprovincialis (Mediterranean mussel). The record is from RNAcentral. Lineage: Eukaryota; Metazoa; Mollusca; Bivalvia; Mytilida; Mytilidae.
AUAAGAUUUAAUAUGAUAGUUAUAUAAAACACAUGUUGUGUUAGGCUCUGGUCCUGUCCAUAACGUUAUAGUAUGGUAUUAGUUUUCUGUUUGGCUUUUUCCAAUCAUAUUGUGUUGUAAAAUGAUGCCCUUUAUGGGUUCUUGAUUAGAUAAAUAAAAUUCUUAUAUUUAUGUUUGACGACGAAAGAUGCAUGUAAUGCCGUGUUGACGAUGUGUGGAUGAAAUAAAUCAAUUGAUGAGUGUGUCUACCUUGUUAAUCGUGAGUUACCAAGUGCACUACCU